AGUAGCUACGUUUGGAAGAGAUAAGUGCUGAAAGCAUCUAAGCACGAAGCUCGUCUCAAGAUGAGAUCUCCAUAUAGGGACGUUGGAGACUACAACGUUGAUAGGCUGCAGGUGUAAAGAUGGUGACAUCAAAGCCGAGCAGUACUAAUUACCCGAAGCUUUCUGAGC
Non-coding RNA from Alkalitalea saponilacus, 168 nucleotides. The record is from Rfam. Lineage: Bacteria; Pseudomonadati; Bacteroidota; Bacteroidia; Marinilabiliales; Marinilabiliaceae.